CCUGGUGAAAUUAGCGCUGUGGAACCACCCGAUCCCAUCCCGAACUCGGAAGUGAAACGCAGCUGCGCCGAUGGUAGUGUGGCUCAAGCCAUGCGA
RNAcentral lists this ribosomal RNA (96 nucleotides) under Stenotrophomonas maltophilia. Lineage: Bacteria; Pseudomonadati; Pseudomonadota; Gammaproteobacteria; Lysobacterales; Lysobacteraceae. The record is from RNAcentral. RNAcentral also lists the same sequence under 2 other names.